UACGAAGGGGGCUAGCGUUGUCCGGAUUUACUGGGCGUAAAGCGCACGUAGGCGGAUCGUUAAGUCGGGGGUGAAAUCCUGGAGCUCAACUCCAGAACUGCCUUCGAUACUGGCGAUCUUGAGUCCGGAAGAGGUGAGUGGAACUCCUAGUGUAGAGGUGGAAUUCGUAGAUAUUAGGAAGAACACCAGUGGCGAAGGCGGCUCACUGGUCCGGUACUGACGCUGAGGUGCGAAAGCGUGGGGAGCAAACAGG
RNAcentral lists this ribosomal RNA (253 nucleotides) under uncultured bacterium. RNAcentral's name for it is "partial 16S ribosomal RNA". It matches the Rfam family "Bacterial small subunit ribosomal RNA", at positions 524 to 776 of the family's 1533-position model. The record is from RNAcentral.